RNAcentral lists this ribosomal RNA (405 nucleotides) under uncultured bacterium. RNAcentral's name for it is "partial 16S ribosomal RNA". It matches the Rfam family "Bacterial small subunit ribosomal RNA", at positions 28 to 526 of the family's 1533-position model. The record is from RNAcentral.
GAUGAACGCUGGCGGCGUGCCUAAUACAUGCAAGUCGAGCGAAGCGGGGACGGGUGAGUAACACGUGGAUAACCUCCUAUAGGGCUGGGAUAACUUCGGGAAACCGGGGCUAUACCGGAUACUUAUAGAUUGGUCCUCGCUGCAUUAGCUAGUUGGUAAGGUAACGGCUUACCAAGGCAACGAUGCAUAGCCGACCUGAGAGGGUGAUCGGCCACACUGGAACUGAGACACGGUCCAGACUCCUACGGGAGGCAGCAGUGGGGAAUCUUCCGCAAUGGGCGAAAGCCUGACGGAGCAACGCCGCGUGAGUGAUGAAGGCCUUCGGAUCGUAAAACUCUGUUAGUAGGGAAGCGGUACCUGAACAGAAAGCCACGGCUAACUACGUGCCAGCAGCCGCGGUAAUUC